Molecule: long non-coding RNA, 613 nt
Organism: Magnolia sinica
Lineage: Eukaryota; Viridiplantae; Streptophyta; Magnoliopsida; Magnoliales; Magnoliaceae
Exons: 3
Source: RefSeq, a predicted model, not a curated record
UUACAGGUGUCAUUAGAUAGUUGUUGACGUGUUAAUAAUUACAUUAUACAUAUAAUUUUCAUAAAAUAUUGUAACCACUUACAAUGUUGUUUGAUGUAUUUAAAUUUUAAUAUGCUAAAUACCCAUACAAUGUUGUAACCUGUAACCACUUAACCAGCACAUAAACUGAUGAUGUUUAAUGCAUUUACCCUAUAGAACUCGGGAAGAGAAGAGGUCACGGGCACAGUGCCCGAGGCAAACCAAACAUGCCAACAGCGCUAUAAUUCACAUAACCAUACGUCAUAGCCUUGUCCUCGCUAUUUGAGGUUGGCUUUGAAGCAACUUCUCAAGAUUGCUUGGUAAAAGGUUAAUGACAGGUCGCAUACUUGACAUCAAUCCUCUAACCGAGCUGGGGAUUGGCUGGUCUCUCACUACAAUUUACAAACUUAUAUGAGUUGUAUAUGCAUAAGUAGGAAAUUCUCUAAUGUCAACAGAACUAAAACAAAUCUACAUCAAUAGCAUAUGAAAGUAGCACCGAAUGAUUAACUAUGUCAAUAGCAAGCAUAAGUAAGCACCAAAAGAUCAUUCAAACAGCUAACUUGCUUUCGCAUCAUUCUGGUAUGUAUUUGAAAAA